Molecule: non-coding RNA, 4391 nt
Organism: Nothobranchius furzeri (turquoise killifish)
Lineage: Eukaryota; Metazoa; Chordata; Actinopteri; Cyprinodontiformes; Nothobranchiidae
Source: RefSeq, a predicted model, not a curated record
CACACACACACACACAUACACACACACACACAGACAGACAAGUAAUGUGUCUAUAGUUAUAUUGUGAUGUCUUAGUAAAUAUUGUAUUUGGUGAAAGAUAAACUUUAUUGUAUUUAUUCUAGUGGAUCUAUAAUUAAACGGAUAAACUAGUAUUAGCACAUCAAAGGUCAAUGAAAACAAAAAGUUAUUAUCAGGAGAGAGAGAAUGUUUAAGUGGUUAGCAGCAGUGUGCUAGCCGAUGGCCCCCUCCAUGAGGCCACCACAGCUCAGCAGAACGUCAUUGUAGCUUCUUCUGGGGAGAAAAACACUUACAGAGAAAAUAAAGUUAACAGCUAAAAUUGCACAAAAUAGUACAGUUAAAGAGCAGAUUGUAGAAUAAAGCAGCAGAGUGUGAAAAGUGGUCAGUGUGUCCUCCAGCAGUCCAAGCCUAUAGCAGCAUAACUACAGAGAUAACUGGAUAAUUAGAAGCCAUCGUGGAUUUGUUAAAGAGAAAGUUCUGUCAUUUCAACCCAAUCAACAUAUUUAAGGAAGACGUUUGCUAUGCACUGUAGCGGCAGGAAUUUUACUGGGUUGGCCCGUCACAGACGGAAACCAGCUGCAAAUGAAAGUCUCCUGGAUCUGGCUCUACACAAACGGAGCAGAAAGUCCCCACCACAAGCUGAAUUAUAACACCGAAAUGGGGCAGCACUACGAGAUGAACACUGUGGGACAGGCGCUUGUUUGCCCGGCUGCAAGAUGGGACGGAGACAAAGGGGAGGAGCACGUGUGCCAACAUGUGAACUUUAAUCAAUGACUGGGGUCAUACUGAACUUACAAACAGAUGCUCAAAGAGACUGUUUCCCCAUAGGGUCCACCCAGUGGAAGUGUGUUUGCUGCAGUUAGGUAAUGGAAAGGCUUUUUGGCAACAAUCAGUUGAUUUGGUGAAAUGUCAGAACUGUGAAAAAAUUUACUAAACUACUGCAGAACAUAGUUAACUGAGAAAGUUAGCCUUAAAAAAUAGGAUUGGUAACCUGGUCCAACUCACCAUUGGAUGUCAAUAUAAUCUUUAUUGUAAGUAUGAUUUAAGAUUUGGAAAACCGCAAGUGUCAAGUUGUUCUAUAGCCUAUCCUAGCUUUUUAUCAUAGCUUAUAUGAUUAACAAAAUUUAAAUGAAAUAGGGGUAAAGUAAAUAACUCGGUGCACAACAAUUUCUCGGUAUUCAUCAGGUUUCUUAGUUGACUGAAUGACUUUUCUUAUUUCUACAGGUCUUAGGGUACUCAGCUGCAGCGGACAGGAGAACAACAGUGUUGUUUCAGCUCCUUUGAGUUUCCCAACAGAUCUAGCCAAACCUGAUCCUAUAUUUUUCUAUGAGCUGUGAAGAUGCUGGUGGCGAAGUGGAUCCCACUUAUUUCUUCCUCCCACACACAUUCUUACUCUCUCUCUCUCUCUCUCUCUCUCUGUGUGUAUGUGCAUGUAUAUGUGUUUGUGUGUCCAUGUGUGUCCGUGUCGUGAUGUCACUGUACCUUUAAUUGCGCUUGCUGUUUGUAACUGUAUGUGUCUGAUGUUGUAGGUAUCAGAGGCUAGGGUCAGUAAGAGUUAGGACAUUUUGUGCAUAACCUUUAAUCCCUAGGCAAUCGGUUCGGGAGACGUCUGGUCCGGCCGGAGUGCGAGUCUUCCUGGUGUUGCAAGGUGACCAAGGGAGAGGAUGGAAAAAGAUGAAGAUUGGACUCUCAUGAACUCACGUCGAUACCUGAGAUGAGGACUAACGGAUAGUGUUGCUUCUCACCUUACUGGGACAAGAUUGACUAACAUAAGAAGUUUGCUGAGUUUUAUGACGGUUCUUGUCUUGAAUGCUGCAAGGAACCAUCCCUGAUAAAUUACAAUGGGGUUUCUGCUGGAGGAGGUGAAGAGGAUAACCAAUGGACGAGCAUAACAAGAGGAAAAGAUAUCACCACAAUGUAUCAUCGUUUUAUAGGCCAUCUGACGACCGCGACACCAAUAGAGGAAUUGUUCACAAUGGAAGAUGAGUAAAAUGCAACUACUCUACACCCUAGACUGGUUUCCAUACCUGCAUUCACACUAUUACAGUCACACCUGCAGAUGACAGGACUUUACUAGCAUAAUAACCACACGAUGACUGUGUCACUUAGCUGAUGUUUGCUUACUUUUGUUCCAGUUUUACGACUUUGAAUUAGUUCCUGAGUAGUACUGGUAUUGUUUUAAUGGUCCGAGGGGAGGUUACUGCGAAUGGGGUCAUAGUUUUAAGGUGUACAUAAAGCUUUUGCGUGGGCCAGAAGGGCCAGGUAGAUCUGAGAUUAUAAAGAGAUAAAUCCUAACACAAUAUAGCAUGUGUGUGUUCCAGGUAAACUACCAAUAAUGAGCCCAGAACUGACAUGUUUCUGGUUAGUGCUUAGAGCACGUUAAUGACAACGUUAUAGAUCAUAAUGCUACAGAUUAAUUCCUCGUAUGCAGAGGAUUCAGAAUUACAGAUGAUAGGAGACUCAACGUGUGAGUUUACCGUAUAAUCUUAGGUUUCACAUCAUUUUUGUUCCCGUUUGUGUCAAAGUUCUUUAACUUAAUGUGAUAACGUAACCAUGACUGUUACUACUCCAUUUCAGGUGCAACAGAUCUUCUGGUGGGUGCUGGAUGUCAUGUUUUGACUAGUGUUUUCUUAUUGUGAUGGAUUAGCAUGUGUUCAUUUUUGAGGGUGUGUGGAUGUUGCAUGACGGGUUUUGAAUGUGGUUUCGAAGGUUGAGGAACAGAAUAGGUGGUUCUGGUUGGGUUUAGAUCGGAUUUGCUGAAUGAUUUUUAAUUUGGUUUUAAGGACUUAUUUCUGGUCGUUUUACCGAGCGGCCAUUUACAUUACUCCUGGUUAUCAAGACAAUCAUGUGAGUUUUGCUUUUACCGUUAACCCAUAAAUGCUUGAGUAAAUCAUUGCAUGCCUUACUACCGAAUUAGCCCUUUAAUUUAGGAUAAGUGGGUAGGUUAGAAAGGGGGUGUGAAUGUGGGGAUGGAUGCUUUGUCUAUGGGUCUAAAAAUUUAGGAAGUUUUUGUGGUAAUAGGUUUAUAGGCAAUUGGCGUGCUAAUUCAAGUUUUUCUUGUUGACAUGUUGCGUUUUGCUCGCCGUGGGGAGGAUGAAGUCGGCACCACCACGCUGCACGCAGAUGGACAAAGGGAGGACUGAGCCAAGAACUUAUGCCUUUGCUUUGCUGACAAAUAAAGGACACUUGUCCACAUAAAGCCCUCCUCAAGCAGAAGACCUCCAACGACGACAUGGAUGUUGAACUUGUAUUUUCCGUUCUAUUCUUUUUGAAUGAAAUCUUCAACCGGAUUUAUUACUGUUUCAUUAUGUCUUCGCUAAAGCUAAUUGUUCAUUAUUCAUCAUAUUUGUCACCAGUUUCUUUUCAUGUGCCUUUGUUGUUUUGUGUGUUCUUUCUUUUGACCACUGAUGAGGAUAUUUGUCACCUGAUGUCCUCAAGCUAGUCCUCGCAUGCCCGCUCUGUGCCGUGGCGUUCGUCCCCUUUUGGGUCGGGGAGGACAUGGAGGAAUUUUCCCUGUUAAAGUACAGCGGACAGGUUUUUGCCUCCAUACGGAGUGCGCAUGCAAUACAUUCGUGAAGUAAUGAGUUCAGUUAAUGCUAAAAUCAUGUUUCAUGUAUUGUUUCACAGUUUUUCAUUGUCUCAGCUGUAAACUCAUCGGUUGUUUUUCAGUUACUUAAUCAUUGUUCAUUGCAUAUACAAGUUGAAUUUGCUGUGUUAUUCUGGAACAUCAUCUCGUGUUUUGGUAUGGGUACUUUAUGCAUUUUUGAUUCAAGGUCAUAUGUUAUACCUUUUUGUUUCCAUUUUUUGUCAUUUUGUUACAUUAUCUUUAUUUGCUGCUCAUUUCUUCUGUUACUUAGUUAAGCAUUCAUUUAUUGAUAUACCCUACAUCGCUGGUUCGUUUACGAUGGUAAUGUGUGGCGCACAAGUCCGCCAAAGGGAGGACUGUUGUAGCCAAAAAGGUCAAGAGGUCAUCUACAACAUAUAUUGAGUUGAAUUAUGAGUCCUUAGGUUAAAAGCUUGCUGAGAAAGCUGUGUUCUGUGUACGUGAGGAUUAACAUGUCCAGCUUGUGUAAACCAGCUCCAGUGGACCUUGAGCCCUUAGAAUCAUGUCGGGAUAACAGGGCUGGUCGACCUCUGGGCUGGAGGGUGCGUUGACCAUAUUGGGAAGUGUAAAACAUCACCCCAUCCUCUCUCAAAGGACUGUGGGAGUAGCAGUAUAAAAUAAGCCUGCAUCUUCGUGGCAGGGGGGGGGGCUUUUGCAGAAAGAUCCAGCCGGAGGCUCACUCAGUUCCAGGCUGGGCGCUGUCCCCAAGUGUGGUGAUGUAUUGAUGUAUUGAUUGUGUAAAUAAAUGCCCCACGCUGAGUUUGGACAA